RNAcentral lists this ribosomal RNA (422 nucleotides) under Simplicibracon sp. RNAcentral describes it as "partial 16S ribosomal RNA". Lineage: Eukaryota; Metazoa; Arthropoda; Insecta; Hymenoptera; Braconidae. The record is from RNAcentral.
GUCUUAAAGAAAUUAAUUUUAAGUCUAAUCUGCCCAAUGAUUAAAUUUAAUGGCUGCAGUAUUUAUAACUGUACAAAGGUAGCAUAAUAAUUUGUUUUUUAAUUAAAAACUAGAAUGAAAGAUUAAAUGAGAUAAAAACUGUUUCAAUUAAAUAUUUAUUAAAUUUAUUAUUUAAGUUAAAAAACUUAAAUAAAUUAUAAAGACGAUAAGACCCUAUAGAAUUUAAUUUUUUAAAUAAUUAAUAAUUAUUAUUAAUUAUUUAAAAAAUUUAAUUGGGGUAAUUAAAAAAUUUAAAUAAUUUUUUUUUAAAAAUACAUUUAUUUAUGAAUUAAAAUAUCUUAAUUUUUAAAUUAAAAAAAUUAAUUACCUUAGGGAUAACAGCAUAAUUUUUUUUGAAAGAUCUUAUUAAUAAAAAAGAUUAU